CCCUUAGAUGUUCUGGGCCGCACGCGCGCUACACUGACGGAGUCAACGAGUUGUCCUGCAUCGGAAGGUGUGGGUAAUCUUUUGAAACUUCGUCGUGCUGGGGAUAGAUCUUUGCAAUGUUCGAUCUUGAACGAGGAAUUCCUAGUAAGCGUGAUUCAUCAGAUCGCGUUGAUUACGUCCCUGCCCUUUGUACACACCGCCCGUCGCUACUACCGAUUGAAUGGUUUAGUGAGGCCUCGGGACUGGCGCGCUCGAGUAGCAAUACACCUGCGCGCCGGGAACUUGGUCAAACUUGAUCAUUUAGAGGAAGUAAAAGUCGUANCA
RNAcentral lists this ribosomal RNA (324 nucleotides) under uncultured eukaryote. Its description in RNAcentral is "partial 18S ribosomal RNA". It matches the Rfam family "Eukaryotic small subunit ribosomal RNA", at positions 1470 to 1796 of the family's 1831-position model. The record is from RNAcentral.